RNAcentral lists this RNase P RNA (160 nucleotides) under Candidatus Borkfalkia excrementipullorum. Its description in RNAcentral is "partial RNase P RNA component class A". It matches the Rfam family "Bacterial RNase P class A", at positions 1 to 172 of the family's 367-position model. From Rfam's summary of the family: Ribonuclease P (RNase P) is a ubiquitous endoribonuclease, found in archaea, bacteria and eukarya as well as chloroplasts and mitochondria. Its best characterised activity is the generation of mature 5'-ends of tRNAs by cleaving the 5'-leader elements of precursor-tRNAs. The record is from RNAcentral. Lineage: Bacteria; Bacillati; Bacillota; Clostridia; Christensenellales; Christensenellaceae.
CGAGUUGAUUAUACGGUCGCGUGGCGCUCUUCGCGCCAUGAGGAAAGUCCGAGCACCGCAGAGCAGGACGCCGGAUAACGUCCGGUGGAGGCGACUCCAAGGAUAGUGCAACAGAAACAGACCGCAGAGCAAUCUGCAAGGAUGGAAAGGGGAGGUAAGA